This 253-nucleotide ribosomal RNA is filed under the name uncultured bacterium. RNAcentral's name for it is "partial 16S ribosomal RNA". It matches the Rfam family "Bacterial small subunit ribosomal RNA", at positions 524 to 776 of the family's 1533-position model. The record is from RNAcentral.
UACGGAGGGUGCAAGCGUUGUUCGGAAUUAUUGGGCGUAAAGCGCGUGUAGGCGGACCGUUAAGUCUGGUGUGAAAUCCCUCGGCUCAACUGAGGACGUGCAUCGGAUACUGGCGGCCUUGAGUCCUGGAGAGGGUAGCGGAAUUCCCAGUGUAGAGGUGAAAUUCGUAGAUAUUGGGAGGAACACCGGUGGCGAAGGCGGCUACCUGGACAGUGACUGACGCUGAGACGCGAAAGCAUGGGUAGCAAACAGG